Molecule: ribosomal RNA, 117 nt
Filed under: Streptococcus suis
Lineage: Bacteria; Bacillati; Bacillota; Bacilli; Lactobacillales; Streptococcaceae
Source: RNAcentral
UUAAGUGACGAUAGCCUAGGAGAUACACCUGUACCCAUGCCGAACACAGCAGUUAAGCCCUAGAACGCCUGAAGUAGUUGGGGGUUGCCCCCCUGUUAGAUACGGUAGUCGCUUAGC